AGAGGACAUGAAUCUUCAUUCAUUUUGCUUUCCUCUACAGUAGUGAGUUGCAGGUUGCCUGGUGGUAUCAGCCUAGCCCUUUUCUGCCACUGCUGAGGAUCAGUCCAUUCCAUUCCCAGAUUCUGACUGAGACAUUAUAGUCUCGAGAUGAUCAAGAUAUUUUGCAUGACCAAGUUGCUGGAUGCAGUACUCAUGUGAAAUCCAAUGGUCUGUGAUUGCCAAGCCAGCACACUGUCUUCUGCUGGGUCCAGACUGGAAGAAAGGAGAGAUUUCAUCAGUGCUCUUUGAUAACUGGGACAAAACACCAAACGCAUCAUGGGACUGGUGGGCUCUCCAUCCUUUGGAUCUCCAGAGCAAAGCUGCCCAUCUCUGCAGGAGAUGCUUUAACCCAGCAGACUCAGCAGCCACACGCUGGCAGAGAUCUCCCAGUCACAGACCUGGCCCACUGCUCCACAUGCUGGAAACCCAGGGGAGGUUUGGUUGCUUCUCCUGCUAGGUGCUCUGCUGGCAGUGGGCAGCCUCUGCUUUCUGUGCCCACCCAACUAAAAGUGCCCACUUGGGGAGCCUGAUGAAGUUGUGCCCACAGAACUU
Poecile atricapillus (Black-capped chickadee) is the source of this 591-nucleotide long non-coding RNA. RefSeq lists it as uncharacterized. The transcript is spliced from 3 exons. The record is from RefSeq and is a predicted model, not a curated record. NCBI's taxonomy places the organism in Eukaryota, Metazoa, Chordata, Aves, Passeriformes, Paridae.